RNAcentral lists this small nuclear RNA (35 nucleotides) under Haplochromis burtoni (Burton's mouthbrooder). RNAcentral describes it as "U5 spliceosomal RNA (ENSHBUG00000010933.1)". It matches the Rfam family "U5 spliceosomal RNA", at positions 23 to 57 of the family's 117-position model. Rfam says of the family: U5 RNA is a component of both types of known spliceosome. The precise function of this molecule is unknown, though it is known that the 5' loop is required for splice site selection and p220 binding, and that both the 3' stem-loop and the Sm site are important for Sm protein binding and cap methylation. The record is from RNAcentral. Lineage: Eukaryota; Metazoa; Chordata; Actinopteri; Cichliformes; Cichlidae.
CGUAUAAAUCUUUCGCCUUUUACUAAAGAUUUCCG